CGUAGGGUGCAAGCGUUAAUCGGAAUUACUGGGCGUAAAGCGUGCGCAGGCGGCUUUGCAAGACAGAUGUGAAAUCCCCGGGCUCAACCUGGGAACUGCAUUUGUGACUGCAUGGCUGGAGUGCGGCAGAGGGGGAUGGAAUUCCGCGUGUAACAGUGAAAUGCGUAGAUAUGCGGAGGAACACCGAUGGCGAAGGCAAUCCCCUGGGCCUGCACUGACGCUCAUGCACGAAAGCCAGGGGAGCGAACGGG
RNAcentral lists this ribosomal RNA (251 nucleotides) under uncultured bacterium. RNAcentral's name for it is "partial 16S ribosomal RNA". It matches the Rfam family "Bacterial small subunit ribosomal RNA", at positions 526 to 776 of the family's 1533-position model. The record is from RNAcentral.